Molecule: long non-coding RNA, 523 nt
Filed under: Heterocephalus glaber (naked mole-rat)
Lineage: Eukaryota; Metazoa; Chordata; Mammalia; Rodentia; Bathyergidae
Description: lncRNA (ENSHGLG00000050853.1)
Source: RNAcentral
AAGCCCAUGAGGGCAGGGAAUUUCCAAAGAACUAGAGAACAGGGAAGUAGGUGUCUCUGGAUAAGGGUCAUGAUUAAUGACCAAACUCACCAAGUGUAUAAAAAAAAGGUGCUGUUCGACAGGUGAUGGCGGGCUCCAUCACGGGUGGCGCCCGAACAGGGACCUGAAUACGGGGGAUCAAGUGAAGGACACCGCGGAUCGUGAGCUCGGAUAAGUAAAUCAAGGGCGGUGAAUACACUCGGGAGUAACAAGAUGGGAAUUGGUAGUAGCCGGCUGCUUUUUGUACAUAUGCUUAAAAUAUGCUUCGGUCUCGUGGAGCAAAGUGCUACUACAGAUGUUUAUGCAUUCUUUGAUGAGGAUGGCUGGAAGUAUUCAUGGUCCACAAUUACAUGCUACACCGCCUAGGCCCCUGGUGUAAUCCCCUGCAGAGGCUGGUAGUCAAUGAUGGGUAAGAGGAGUACAGGAAAUCACCAACCUAAGACAGAGCAAGAGUACUGUGACGCUCUUGACUCGAUGACCGGUA